RNAcentral lists this ribosomal RNA (314 nucleotides) under uncultured methanogenic archaeon. RNAcentral describes it as "bacterial SSU rRNA". It matches the Rfam family "Archaeal small subunit ribosomal RNA", at positions 1030 to 1343 of the family's 1478-position model. Lineage: Archaea; Methanobacteriati; Methanobacteriota. The record is from RNAcentral.
UAAGUCAGGCAACGAGCGAGACCCACGCCAACAGUUGCCAGCAUGUCCUCCGGGAUGGUGGGGACACUGUUGGGACCGCCUCUGCUAAAGAGGAGGAAGGAAUGGGCAACGGUAGGUCAGCAUGCCCCGAAUUAUCCGGGCUACACGCGGGCUACAAUGGGCAGGACAAUGGGUUUCGACACCGAAAGGUGAAGGCAAUCUCUUAAACCUGCUCGUAGUUCGGAUUGCGGGUUGCAACUCGCCCGCAUGAAGCUGGAAUCUGUAGUAAUCGCGUCUCAAAAUGGCGCGGUGAAUAUGUCCCUGCUCCUUGCACA